GGGGGGGGGGGGGGGGGGGGGGGGGGGGGGGGGGGCGGGGGGGCGGGCGGGGGGGUUGCUCCUCGGACGUGAGCGGCGGGCGGGUGAGUGACACGUGGAUAACCUACCUAUAAGACUGGGAUAACUUCGGGAAACCGGAGCUAAUACCGGGGACUAUAUUGAACCGCAUGGUUCAAUAGUGAAAGACGGUUUUGCUGUCACCUAUAGAUGGAUCCGCGCCGCAUUAGCUAGUUGGUAAGGUAACGGCUUACCAAGGCCACGAUGCGUAGCCGACCUGAGAGGGUGAUCGGCCACACUGGAACUGAGACACGGUCCAGACUCCUACGGGAGGCAGCAGUAGGGAAUCUUCCGCAAUGGGCGAAAGCCUGACGGAGCAACGCCGCGUGAGUGAUGAAGGUCUUCGGAUCGUAAAACUCUGUUAUUAGGGAAGAACAAAUGUGGAAGUAACUAUGCACGUCUUGACGGUACCUAAUCAGAAAGCCACGGCUAACUACGUG
RNAcentral lists this ribosomal RNA (497 nucleotides) under uncultured bacterium. RNAcentral's name for it is "partial 16S ribosomal RNA". It matches the Rfam family "Bacterial small subunit ribosomal RNA", at positions 38 to 507 of the family's 1533-position model. The record is from RNAcentral.